CAGCACGUCAAGCUGGUGUCCAGGUUCGACUCCGUGUCUUCACGCUCCUGUGCGGCGAGCAACGCGGACAGGAGGACGCAUCAGUUUUAGAAGCACCUUGCUGUCACGGUGUCACGCAUUUGCAUUCAAAUAACUUCCCCCUCCCGCAACAAAGGCGCCCGGGGGAGAUGGAUUAACACUCAUUAACUAGCGCACCCAAAAUGAAUAGAAGAGUGAGGAAGAGGAGAAGGUCGGAGCUGCAGGGAAACGCAGAGCCACAAAGUUGCGCCGCGGCGGAGUUCACCUCUUUAACGGUCAGGAUGCGCUCCGUCACUCCGCCCCCUCCUCAGCGGAUCACUGUCUCCUGACAUCAGCGGCCUCCAACUCUUCAGGCCCCCGCGAACCUGCGAGGGAGGGUGGCGCCCGUCCCUCAUUUAAAGGCACACAUAUGUGAAUAAAGCUGCUAAUCCUCCUUUAGUGUUGUACCAAAAUUCCAGGAUCUGUCUAAGAGCAGAGGACUCCUCAGGAUCCCAAUCAAGCUCCUUCCUGCAGCCUUUUAUUCCAGGGAAGCAAUUUUCCAGACAGAUCUCGGCUCAGAGAGGAGAGCAGAGAAAAAAAGAGAGCAAACGCGCGGUUGGGUUUCUCUCCAUCUCUCCAUCCUGCAGAAAAAAGAAAGAAAGAAAGAAAGAAAGAAAGAAAGAAAGAAAGAAAGAAAGAAAGAAAGAAAGAAAGAAAGAAAGAAAGAAUUUCCCAUUAAAUUCAUCGGAGGAUGUGCUCAGCGGCCUCACCUCGACAGGGUCAAACAGCAAUAAAUUACUGUUAUCAGGAGCAGGUCGCCGCCAUAUUGGCACUGGAUCAUCUCUCUUGCUCAGCAAGAAAGUUUAAGGCUGCAAGCCAAGAUGGAAACCUGGUGUGUCGAGGUGAUGCGGCGUGUGACCGGCACCAAGGUGACUGUUUGAUGGGAUUCCUGCGUGAGUCUUUUUGUCAGCCUGAGUUUUUGUCCUGAGGCUCCUCUGAGUUUUUCCCAGCCUGUCAUGUCUUCACCUGGCCUCCUGAACAUCCCCCACCACCACCACCACCACCACCACCACCACCACUGCCAGCUGUCAUGUGACCCGUCACUCUGCCCUGCCUACGGCUACACGAAUAAACUCUGAGAUGACGUUUGACUGGACAAAAUCUGGUUUAAAUAAAACAUCUGCAGGAAAAAUUGGAGGGUUAUAAUGGGAGAGCAAAAGUGUUUGCCCUCCAACACGCAGCAAUGACAAACUUAAUACAGCCAAUUAGCUUUAAAGAUCAAGCUAAUGUAGCCCUGGGUAAAACCAGGCAUGUUUAAAAAAAAGACAUCACUUAAAAUAAAGAAAGAAAUAAAUAGCAGUUAGGGCUAAAAAGAAACAGUUUAUGAUAAAUAAAUUAGUAAUUAAAAGGCCACUUCAGAUUAAAAGUAUGACGGAGUGAUUUAGUGGUAGGGGGUGAGUUCAGUGUAGUAUAUGUGUUUUCCAAGAUGCAUAUUACAUGUUUGAUGCGUUGUCUGUGAAUGUAUAUGUUAUAAUGUCCCGGGGAAACAGAAGAAAUAGACAAGUGGAACAAAAUGUAUUUUAUUUUGAAAAGCUGAUGUGCAGGUGUGGGGGAGGUGAGCGGAACAGAAAAGAAAGAAAAGAGGGGAGUCAGGAAGGAGGGAGAGAGGAGCGCGAAAAAAUGGAAAAGUUGAUCAAGUGUCAUAGAAGUUCAUCAUUAUAGUCAUUCUAGUGUUCGACCAGAACUCUUUUUGAAGACUGAGUGGUGACUUUCAAGCAAGUGUUGAGUGGAGAACUCAAUACGACAAACAGACGAAGAGGAGAGUGCAUGUAGCUGCUGACUAAGUGGCUGCUAACCCUGAACUUGGCUAACGAGCUAGCGGCUAGCAAUCUGGUGGAGCCGAGCAGAGGUGGAUCGUCGUCCGCGGUGGAGUGACCUGAGGUGGAGCUGAGUCCGGCGUUUCUUACCUUACUUUGGAUCCUCCCUUCCCCUGCUUCAGCAGUUAUUCUUCUCACCUGAGGUAACACCUGAGGCACAGCUACACUUUUGUUUUGGCCUGUAAGGUGAAGCAGCCAGUCGUUUGAGCCUACCACGUACCCGAGCUGCAACCAGGCCUGCUACGGUAACUUAAGUAUUGCCGGCUAUUUUGUUUUAUUGGGGGCCCCACAGUAACGGUUCAUUGUGCAUAUUUUGCAUAUGUGAACGAAGCCUGUUUACAAAUGUUAAUUUUCUUGAAUCUGUUUGUUGAGUAAACCUUUUUUUAUUUUAUUUUCCACUGAAACGGUAUUGGUCUUUGAAUUCCUUGGUUUAAGUUCAUUGCAGAAACCUUAUUUAUUAUUUCAUAUUUUAGAAAGAGCUCAGGUUAGCCACCUCUCAAAUAGUAAAAUACACUAGAGAGGCGCUACACUAACCUGCCAAUGA
Molecule: long non-coding RNA, 2418 nt
Organism: Takifugu rubripes (torafugu)
Lineage: Eukaryota; Metazoa; Chordata; Actinopteri; Tetraodontiformes; Tetraodontidae
Source: Ensembl